GCGGCAGGCCUAACACAUGCAAGUCGAACGCUGUAGCAAUACAGAGUGGCAGACGGGUGAGUAACGCGUGGGAACGUGCCUUUCGGUUCGGAAUAACUCAGGGAAACUUGAGCUAAUACCGGAUACGCCCUUCGGGGGAAAGAUUUAUUGCCGAAAGAUCGGCCCGCGUCCGAUUAGCUAGUUGGUGUGGUAAUGGCGCACCAAGGCGACGAUCGGUAGCUGGUCUGAGAGGAUGAUCAGCCACACUGGGACUGAGACACGGCCCAGACUCCUACGGGAGGCAGCAGUGGGGAAUAUUGGACAAUGGGCGCAAGCCUAAUCCAGCCAUGCCGCGUGAGUGAUGAAGGCCCUAGGGUUGUAAAGCUCUUUCGCCAGGGACGAUAAUGACGGUACCUGGAUAAGAAGCCCCGGCUAACUUCGUGCCA
Molecule: ribosomal RNA, 425 nt
Filed under: uncultured Methylocystis sp.
Lineage: Bacteria; Pseudomonadati; Pseudomonadota; Alphaproteobacteria; Hyphomicrobiales; Methylocystaceae
Description: bacterial SSU rRNA
Rfam family: Bacterial small subunit ribosomal RNA
Source: RNAcentral